RNAcentral lists this non-coding RNA (180 nucleotides) under Rhodanobacter spathiphylli. Its description in RNAcentral is "Rhodanobacter sp. FMN sequence". It matches the Rfam family "FMN riboswitch aptamer (RFN element)". From Rfam's summary of the family: The RFN element is a highly conserved domain that is found frequently in the 5'-untranslated regions of prokaryotic mRNAs that encode for flavin mononucleotide (FMN) biosynthesis and transport proteins. This element is a metabolite-dependent riboswitch that directly binds FMN in the absence of proteins. RNAcentral also lists the same sequence under 1 other name. Lineage: Bacteria; Pseudomonadati; Pseudomonadota; Gammaproteobacteria; Lysobacterales; Rhodanobacteraceae. The record is from RNAcentral.
CGACGUCUUCAGGGCGGGGCGAAAUUCCCCACCGGCGGUAGGUUGAAGGGCUCACGCCCGACAACGAGCCCGCGAGCGCUUCCGGUCACACGGAAGGUCAGCAGAUCCGGUCGAAUGCCGGAGCCGACGGCUGGAAACGGGCGACCGCUUCCUCACAGUCCGGAUAAAGAGAAGACGGCA